CAGUCGCCGCGGUAAUACAGAGGGUGCGAGCGUUAAUCGGAUUUACUGGGCGUAAAGCGUGCGUAGGCGGCUUCUUAAGUCGAAUGUGAAAUUCCUGAGCUUAACUUAGGAAUUGCAUUCGAUACUGGGAAGCUAGAGUAUGGGAGAGGAUGGUAGAAUUCCAGGCGUAGCGGUGAAAUGCGUAGAGAUCUGGAGGAAUACCGAUGGCGAAGGCAGCCAUCUGGCCUAAUACUGACGCUGAGGUACGAAAGCAUGGGGAGCAAACAGGAUUAGAUACCCGAGUAGUCCCUGUCUCUUAUAC
RNAcentral lists this ribosomal RNA (301 nucleotides) under uncultured bacterium. RNAcentral's name for it is "partial 16S ribosomal RNA". It matches the Rfam family "Bacterial small subunit ribosomal RNA", at positions 509 to 807 of the family's 1533-position model. The record is from RNAcentral.